UCUGCUUAGGAAUUUCAUCGGGACAUAGUACCAGUAGCUCAUCUGUAUGGCAUGAUGGCUGGGCUUGGCUAGUCUAACUGAAAUCACUUAGAACAUGAGGUUGAAGCUAGCUAGUGUCUCAGGCAAAAUAAGCAGACAGUAAUGUGGAAAAGGCAAAGGUGGAAGCUAAGAAUGCUAGAGAAAAAGAAGGCUUCUCCACCUGGCUGAUUGAGGCUUCCUCAUAAAAUGAUAAUCUGAAUUACAAGAGGGGGCAUUCCAAGAGAACAAGCCUUAAUAUAUGCAAUCAAUAUGAUUACUAAUAUGUCACUGACCCAAACAAAUCACAUGACCAAGUUCAACGUCUGGGAAGGAUAACAUCUUAAUUCAAUAAAGAGUUGAUAAUUAGAGGUAGUUUCAGAGCUAGUUUAUUCUUUAAAUAUUGGUUUCUAGAAAACGGAAACUCAUACUCUUUAAAAAGUUGGAGAUGGAGGGCUGGAGAGAUGGCUAAGUCAGUACUUAAGAGCACUUAAUGCUGUGUUGGAGGACCUAUGUGCAGUUCUCAGAAGCUAACAACGAUUUCCAGGGGAUCUGAUGCCCUCUUCUGACCUCCAUGGGUAUUAGGCACAAACAUGGUACACAUACAGACAUGUAGGCAAAAUAUCAUACAUAUAAAAUUAAGGACUUUUAAAUUUGGAAUAUGAAACUUUGAAAUUAUACAAUGCUUCAUGAAUUUUUAUGCCAUUCUUGCACAGGGCCCAUGCUAAUCUUUUCUUACUAUAUAUGCUGCUGGUGUGAGCAUGAAUUCACACACAUGACAGGAAGUACCAGACUGCACUCUGAGCUCCCUAUCAUAACUGACUGGCAUUCUGGGCUAUUCUAGGAAGGGUAAGAUUAUAUUCCUUGAAUGAGAAGAGGGGUGAAUGGGGCCAUGAAGUUCCUGAUGAACUUUUCUCCUUUAUUAAAAAUAUUUGGAGUCUUCUUAUUUUUCUUGUCUUGAGGAAGAAGGGUGAAGGGUGAAGCCUGGCUGAAAAAUUUAUCUCCCUAGAUCUUAUGCAGUUAUGCUUCCUGUAAGGAGACCGUUCCAGAAACUGCUCAAUUGCUAGGAAAGCAUUGCUUUUCCUAAUACCUCACCGCCCUUCUCUUUUGACACAUACAUAGAAAUAGUGUCUCAAAAAUAAGAGGGCAUAAUGUGAGAAACAUGAAGCCGGAAGCCAUAGGCUGGGGAUGCUUGGGAAGAAAGGAGGAGCCUGGGUCACUCAUGAUAUUCUGAAGCUGCUCUGGCAGUCCUGAAAUGGCUGCUUCUGUUCCCCAGAUAAACCUGAAUUUGUCUCCACUUCCACCUAGAAUGUGUAGCUGAACAUAGAUUUAGCUAGUACAUAAACUCACAAGUUACCUUCUACUGAAUGUUCUUGCUCACGAUUUACCAGUGAGAUGGUAACUUGACUUAGUGUGUUAGAAGUACACAAAGAGCUGUUGCAAAUUACUGUAUCAACUCCUAUACCAUUUCUCCUAAAUCCUGAUAUCUCAAAUUACUAUUAGAGUAAGAAAUAUUUAUUAAAGGGAAUAAGAAGUAGAAGGAAGAAGCAGUAUCCAAACUUGAUUCUCCCAAAGUCUCAUUUUAACAUUUUGAUGGUCUCUGCCUUUUUUUCCAAGUACUUUUUUACCAUUAUGACACUAGUGCAUAUUUAUAUUAUUUUACCUAAUGUUGUACUAUAAAUAGCUUUCCAAGUUAGCACAAGUUAGCAAGGGUGUGGCUAAGUGAGACAACAAAUACAUAUACUGUGGUGAGUAACAAAAUAUAUACCCACAAGAAUGGUUCUAAAAUACACAGAAGGAAAAUUACUUUUAAGUAAGUUGCUGACUAUAACAUGUUUUGGUUAACUGUUUCUUGGCACGGAACAUGUCAAUUCACUUUUUAAAAAAAUAAUAAUUACUAUUACUGUGUGUGCACAGCACAGUGUGUUUGUGUUGGGAGGUAUGUGGGUGCAGACAUGGCACGUGUGGGGUCAGUUCUCUCCUCCCACCUUUACAUGGAUUCUGGGGAUCAAACCUAUGUCCCCAGAAUUUCAAUGUGACUGCCAUCUCACUGCCCUCAAUUCAUUUAAAAAAAAAUUCAAGUCAGUUGGUUAAAUAUGAGUAAACAUAGAGGGAUACAUAUGGCAUCUUAGUGAAUGAUUUCUAAAACUGGAAGGCAUCCAUGCGGCUGUGCUAUAUGUUAUAUGUUUGUAUAGACCUUUUGUGAUCAUGUAUUUUUAUAAGCCAUUUUUUAAAUAUGCGUAGAGGAUAGAAAAUUCUUAACUUCCAAGUAUUCUUUUUAGUGCAAAUUUUCAUGACUCUUGUGUUCUUGAUUAACCUCAGCCUAUUGUUAGAGUACUCCUAAUGCUAACGAAUACACUUUAGCAUGAGAACCAAGAUAUCUUUUGUGAAAGUCCAAGUGACUCAAAGAAACUAGUUUUCAUUUUCAUUAACAGUAAAUGUUAUCAAAUGUCUAAAUAUCAGUACUCUGUUGCUUUCUGUUAUUGCAAUUAUUCGUAAUAGUUAAUUUCCCAACAUCCUUCUCCAGGAAAGAUAAUUACUUCUGGUUGCCACAGCACAGAGGAAACAAUGACCAGCGUGACUAAGAGAGCUCCGUGAAAGACUUGAGAUUUGAAAACCAGCUUUGUCCUUUGGUAUCGCUAAGCUGAGAUCACAGGAGAACACAGCUACGUGUUCAAAUAGUGAACCAGGAGCCCCUUACCUGAGCUGUCAGUAGUAUAAGAACAGAAGAUUACUGAGGAUUAGACAACAGUGAUCUCAGAAUGCUUCAGACUACCCAAAAGUGCUAGAAAGGAGACAAGAUUUUCAGGUGAAGAACAACAGGAAAGCCCUUUGACACAGCCGAGUGUUGAUUCAAUCCAGUCGCAGUGUACCAGCUGCUGUCCGGGAGACACCUUGUCUGCUUUGACCUGUCAGGAAAUGAAGAAUGGAAGCAGCUUCUAGAUCACAGGGUGGUCACUGGUCACACUAUGUGAGGACUCUGAAUCUACCUCUACAGAAAGGAGGAGGAUGUGAGGGCAGGACUCUCAUUGUUCAUCAAUUCUGUCUUCCCCUGCAUGCUGACAACCAACGUACCAUACCUGGAAAUCAUAAGCAAGAGCCGUUUAACUUGGAAUUAAACAGUCUAAAACCUAGGUUUUGAAACACACUUUGCCGAGGUGGUGUGCGGAUAGGACCUGGCCUUCUCCUUUACUUGGCUCACUAUGUUGCAGCUCUUAAAUGGAUGGACCGUUUAAAUGUUCCUCGAUUCUCCACAGACCAAAUUUAAUCCACUGACUUGACCUUCAAAACAUGCAGGAGCCAGUCACAGUCAUUGUUAUUGGU
This 3339-nucleotide small RNA is filed under the name Rattus norvegicus (Norway rat). Its description in RNAcentral is "uncharacterized LOC102554278". Lineage: Eukaryota; Metazoa; Chordata; Mammalia; Rodentia; Muridae. The record is from RNAcentral.